RNAcentral lists this ribosomal RNA (876 nucleotides) under uncultured Nitrososphaerota archaeon. RNAcentral's name for it is "bacterial SSU rRNA". It matches the Rfam family "Archaeal small subunit ribosomal RNA", at positions 21 to 903 of the family's 1478-position model. Lineage: Archaea; Thermoproteati; Nitrososphaerota. The record is from RNAcentral.
ACCUGACUGCUAUCGGAUUGAUACUAAGCCAUGCGAGUCAUUGUAGCAAUACAAGGCAGACGGCUCAGUAACGCGUAGUCAACCUAACCUAUGGACGGGAAUAACCUCGGGAAACUGAGAAUAAUACCCGAUAGAACACUAUACCUGGAAUGGUUUGUGUUCCAAAUGAUUUAUCGCCGUAGGAUGGGACUGCGGCCUAUCAGUUUGUUGGUGAGGUAAUGGCCCACCAAGACUAUUACAGGUACGGGCUCUGAGAGGAGUAGCCCGGAGAUGGGUACUGAGACACGGACCCAGGCCCUAUGGGGCGCAGCAGGCGAGAAAACUUUGCAAUGUGCGAAAGCACGACAAGGUUAAUCCGAGUGGUUUGUGCUAAACAGACCUUUUGUUAGUCCUAGAAACACUAACGAAUAAGGGGUGGGCAAGUUCUGGUGUCAGCCGCCGCGGUAAAACCAGCACCUCAAGUGGUCAGGAUGAUUAUUGGGCCUAAAGCAUCCGUAGCCGGCUCUGUAAGUUUUCGGUUAAAUCUGUAUGCUCAACAUACAGGCUGCCGGGAAUACUGCAGAGCUAGGGAGUGGGAGAGGUAGACGGUACUCGGUAGGAAGGGGUAAAAUCCUUUGAUCUAUUGAUGACCACCUGUGGCGAAGGCGGUCUACCAGAACACGUCCGACGGUGAGGGAUGAAAGCUGGGGGAGCAAACCGGAUUAGAUACCCGGGUAGUCCCAGCUGUAAACUAUGCAAACUCAGUGAUGCAUUGGCUUGUGGCCAAUGCAGUGCUGCAGGGAAGCCGUUAAGUUUGCCGCCUGGGAAGUACGUACGCAAGUAUGAAACUUAAAGGAAUUGGCGGGGGAGCACCACAAGGGGUGAAGCCUGCGGUUC